UACGAACGCUGGCGGCGUGCUUAAUACAUGCAAGUCGAACGGACAGACCCCUUUCGGGGUCCUCGAGUGGCGACCGGGUGAGUAACACGUGCGUAACCUUCCCUUGACUUCGGGAUAACUUUAGGAAACUGGGGCUAAUACCGGUUAGGAAUCCUUGAUGCAUGGUGGGGGUUGGAAAGCUUCGGAGGUUUUGGAUGUACUCGAGGCGUAUCUGCUUGUUGGUGUGGCGAUGGCUUACCAAGGCUUUGACGGGUAGCCGGCCUGAGAGGGCGACCGGCCACAUUGGGACUGAGAGACGGCCCAGACACCUACGGGAGGCAGAAGUGGGGAAGAUUGCACAAGGGGCGGAAGCCUGAUGCAGCAACGCCGCGUGCGGUAUGACGGCCUUAGGGUUGUAAACCGAAUUCAGCAGGGGCGAAGCUUGUGGUGACGGUACCUGCAGAAGAAGCACCGGCUAACUACGUG
Molecule: ribosomal RNA, 465 nt
Filed under: uncultured bacterium
Lineage: Bacteria
Description: partial 16S ribosomal RNA
Rfam family: Bacterial small subunit ribosomal RNA
Source: RNAcentral